Molecule: long non-coding RNA, 141 nt
Organism: Saccostrea cuccullata (small rock oyster)
Lineage: Eukaryota; Metazoa; Mollusca; Bivalvia; Ostreida; Ostreidae
Exons: 3
Source: RefSeq, a predicted model, not a curated record
CGCUGUAGAGUUUCCUGCAUGUAAAUGGCUGGUAUUAUGGCGUCGUCCACUGCAAGGGCAUUUCAAACAGUAAAGCCACAUAUUCCACUCAUAAAGUUUCGUGCUGGAAAACAGACAACAGCUAACCCUGCAAUACUGACC